ACGGAGGGUGCGAGCGUUAAUCGGAAUUACUGGGCGUAAAGCGUACGUAGGCGGCUAUUUAAGUGGGAUGUGAAAGCCCUGGGCUCAACCUAGGAACUGCACCCCAAACUGGGUAGCUAGAGUACGGCAGAGGAGUGCGGAAUUUCCUGUGUAGCGGUGAAAUGCGUAGAUAUAGGAAGGAACACCAGUGGCGAAGGCGACACUCUGGGCUGAUACUGACGCUGAGGUACGAAAGCGUGGGGAGCAAACAGG
RNAcentral lists this ribosomal RNA (252 nucleotides) under uncultured bacterium. Its description in RNAcentral is "partial 16S ribosomal RNA". It matches the Rfam family "Bacterial small subunit ribosomal RNA", at positions 525 to 776 of the family's 1533-position model. The record is from RNAcentral.